CCCAGACUCCUACGGGAGGCAGCAGUGGGGAAUAUUGGACAAUGGGGGGAACCCUGAUCCAGCGACGCCGCGUGAGUGAAGAAGUAUUUCGGUAUGUAAAGCUCUCUCAGCAGGGAAGAAAGAAAUGACGGUACCUGACUAAGAAGCCCCGGCUAACUACGUGCCAGCAGCCGCGGUAAUACGUAGGGGGCAAGCGUUAUCCGGAUUUACUGGGUGUAAAGGGAGCGUAGACGGCGAUGCAAGCCAGGAGUGAAAGCCCGGGGCCCAACCCCGGGACUGCUCUUGGAACUGCGUGGCUGGAGUGCAGGAGGGGCAGGCGGAAUUCCUGGUGUAGCGGUGAAAUGCGUAGAUAUCAGGAGGAACACCGGUGGCGAAGGCGGCCUGCUGGACUGCAACUGACGUUGAGGCCCGAAAGCGUGGGGAGCAAACAGGAUUAGAUACCCGUGUA
Molecule: ribosomal RNA, 448 nt
Filed under: uncultured bacterium
Lineage: Bacteria
Description: bacterial SSU rRNA
Rfam family: Bacterial small subunit ribosomal RNA
Source: RNAcentral